GGGGGAAUCUUCCACAAUGGGCGCAAGCCUGAUGGAGCAACGCCGCGUGAGUGAAGAAGGUCUUAGGAUUGUAAAGCUCUGUCCUUAGGGAAGAACCGUGGAUGUAGUAAAUGGCAUCCAUCUGACGGUACCUUUGGAGGAAGCACUGGCUAACUACGUGCCAGCAGCCGCGGUAAUACGUAGAGUGCAAGCGUUGCCCGGAAUUAUUGGGCGUAAAGGGUACGCAGGCGGAUAAUCAAGUCAAGCGUGAAAGGUGUCGGCUUAACCGACAGACUGCGUUUGAAACUGAUUAUCUUGAGUGUAACAGAGGAGAGUGGAAUUCCUAGUGUAGUGGUGAAAUACGUAGAUAUUAGGAAGAACACCAGUGGCGAAGGCGACUCUCUGGGUUAACACUGACGCUGAGGUACGAAAGCUGGGGGAGCGAACGGGAUUAGAUACCUCGGUAGUCCCAGCCGUAAACGAUGGAUACUAGGUGUUGGAGGUUCGAAUCCUUCAGUGCCGGAGUUAACGCAUUAAGUAUCCCGCCUGUGGAUUACGGUCGCAAGACUG
Molecule: ribosomal RNA, 549 nt
Filed under: uncultured bacterium
Lineage: Bacteria
Description: bacterial SSU rRNA
Rfam family: Bacterial small subunit ribosomal RNA
Source: RNAcentral